Molecule: long non-coding RNA, 2217 nt
Filed under: Marmota monax (woodchuck)
Lineage: Eukaryota; Metazoa; Chordata; Mammalia; Rodentia; Sciuridae
Source: RNAcentral
UUGGUCGUCUCUGCCCCAGUCCCUUUGCCGCGGGACGCGCGGGGCGGGAAGCGGGAACGCGAACGCGCUGCUCUGGCCAGCUUAGCUCCGCGGGGCGGGGCGGAGAUCUUCAGGAACUGAGCACCUACUGUGUGUCCUAGCGCUUUGCAGAGGAUUUUCGUUCAGUUUUCCCUACAGCCCUUGCCAGAGGUUAUCAAUACUCCACUUUCGGAGAGACAGGCUGAGACUAGGAGAGGUGAAGUCACUUGCCGAAAACCGCACAGCGAGGAUCUGCGUAACACCUCAAAUCGUGAUCGCUCACACCCCAAAUAGCACAAUGAACUAGAAACCACUUUUCCUAGUCUUGCUCUUGCCCCAUAUUCGUGAGUCGGCGCAUAGUGGGUACUCAGGAAAAUAAAUGUUGGCAACUGAAGAAUGAGCUUGACAGCUCAGCCUCGAGUACCUGCGGCGAAUGUAGCCCGCCCGGGGGGCGCCGGCCUGCCUCGGACCUCGGAGGGAAACGGUGGUGGAUGCGCACAUAGAGGAGAAUUGGGCACCCCCCGCUCUGCACAGGCACAGUGUUGGAGCCCCAGCCCUAGCCGAGGACAGAGUGGGUUCGAAUCCUGGCUGCUCGGCUGCUUUCAGGCUGUGUGUUGUUGAGCAAGUCAUUUUAAAACGUGGAGACCUCAGUUGCUCCGUCCACAAAGUGGAGCCAUUAAAGCCCAUCCUAAAGAAUUAAACGAAACAAUAUUCCUAAAAUACUAAACGUGUAAGUGUCGUCAGCCGUGCAUCCCACAAGCUUCAGGGGCACACCGGGCACCGAGCUGAUCCAGGACAAAAAGGCCUCCCGGCCCCUGUCCCCUGGGCGCAGGGACCAAUGAGUCUUCAAAUGACUCCAGUUUGGCGAAACCCGAAUGUGACUACCAUGGCAGUGGUGAAUCCCGAAAGCAAAUAUUCAAAUAUUCUGAAACUGGCGCAUGGUUAACACUGGCAUUUUCGCGUUUUUCUUGCAAUUUUAUUCUUGCUAGUAAAGAUAAUUCGUUAGAAACUCCUAAAUAAGGUUUCUCCUCUGCGUCUUGUUUGACUUUUCGUAUGAGCGAAGUUCACAAAACUGACCAAGAAACUGGAGUGCAAACGUCCUGGCUGGGAUCCCGGCCCUCGGACAGGCGUUGGAUAAUACCCGGGCUCUCGGCUCCUUCCCUCAGGCACGGAAGCCGCCGAAAAGAUAGACGGCUCUUCGUCCCGGCAGCCCUCCGGGAUUCCCCGUAUCCACGCUGGAGCGAGCAGGGUUGGGGGUUGCAGCCUGGAACUCAGCUUCCCGGAUCUCCCCAAACUCCCGCCUGGCCAGGAUUAAGGGAGUAAAUCCCUGACGCCACCGACCAGGUCAAGGACAAGUUCUCCCCCGGCAAACCCUCCCCUCCUGGGCGGGGAUUCGCUCCCCCCUUGGCCCGGAUGAAAGGUACUAAAGAGACGCGGAGGGGGGAGCGGCGGCCCCGGCCCCUUGAUGUUCCGGUUGAACAGGUGCUGGUGAAAAGGAGGCGGACCCGGCGGAAGAGUCUGCCAGGGGGGCAGUGCGCUGAAGGGGGGCGGCCUACUCCAUCCCCAAUCCCCUGGCCGGCCUUCCCCUCUUCCCUCUCUCGACCCCUCCCCCUCAGGAAGCAUUCCCGGCCGCGAAGUCUUUGAAGUGUCGCUGAAGCCCCCAGGGCUGCCUCCUCCCCUCCACCACCCCACCUCCCGCUGUGGGGGAGGGUGACCUUUAGUCCCCACGGGCGCCGACCCCCCUUUAGGAAAUGUGUGGGAGUCAGAUCUCGUCCCCUUUCCCCACACUAGUCUUGGGGAAGAAAUCUUCGGGCUAAUGUCCCCUCACUUCUGACCCGAGACUCAGUGUUGGGGACUUUAGCCCUUUGGAGGGAGCUGUGUGCGUGCCAUUGUGUUUGUGUGCGUGCUUAGCGGUCAAGGGUAACUUGUUCGUGACCACCUCCGUGGUUGCGGUCUCUAGCGCGCGUGGGUCUCUCCGGCGCGCCAGCGGAACUGGAGCUGGGCUUGGGUCUCCAGGAGGGUCAGGUGGUGUGCCUGGAUGAAGCUGCGCGGGCCUCUGUGCGCCUUGGAGAUCUGGGUCCCAGUGUGUGCGCGUGUGUCCGUGACAACGAAAAGCUCCUCGAGGGCAGGGAUAUCUAUUUUGUUCGCUACUCUCCUGGCGGCUGGCACAUACUAAGCGUUCAAUAAAUAUUUGUUUAA